AUUGAACGCUGGCGGCAGGCUUAACACAUGCAAGUCGAGCGAGCGGCGGACGGGUGAGUAAUGUAUGGGGACUGCCCGAUAGAGGGGGAUAACUACUGGAAACGGUGGCUAAUACCGCAUACUAUCGGAUAACCCAUAUGGGAUUAUCGAGUAGGUGGGGUAAAGGCUCACCUAGGCGACGAUCUCUCGCUGGUCUGAGAGGAUGAUCAGACACACGGGGACUUGGACACUGCCCAGACUCCUACGGAGGCAGACGUGGGGAAUAUUGAACAAUGGGCGCAAGCCUGAUGCAGCCAUGCCGCGUGUAUGAAGAAGGCCUUAGGGUUGUAAAGUACUUUCAGCGGGGAGGCGUUACCCGCAGAAGAAGCACCGGCUAACUCCGUGCCAGCAGCCGCGGUAAUUC
This 403-nucleotide ribosomal RNA is filed under the name uncultured bacterium. RNAcentral's name for it is "partial 16S ribosomal RNA". It matches the Rfam family "Bacterial small subunit ribosomal RNA", at positions 30 to 526 of the family's 1533-position model. The record is from RNAcentral.